GGGAUAUAGCUCAGCUGGGAGAGCGAUACGUUCGCAACGUAUAGGUCACGGGUUCAAAUCCCGCUAUCUCC
This 71-nucleotide transfer RNA is filed under the name Blautia producta. It matches the Rfam family "tRNA". Rfam says of the family: Transfer RNA (tRNA) molecules are approximately 80 nucleotides in length. RNAcentral also lists the same sequence under 2 other names. The record is from RNAcentral. Lineage: Bacteria; Bacillati; Bacillota; Clostridia; Lachnospirales; Lachnospiraceae.